GGGUGAAAGGCCAAUCAAACUCGGAGAUAGCUGGUUCUCCCCGAAAGCUAUUUAGGUAGCGCCUCGGACGAAUACUACUGGGGGUAGAGCACUGUUAAGGCUAGGGGGUCAUCCCGACUUACCAACCCUUUGCAAACUCCGAAUACCAGUAAGUAAUAUCCGGGAGACACACGGCGGGUGCUAACGUCCGUCGUGAAGAGGGAAACAACCCAGACCGCCAGCUAAGGUCCCAAAGUUAUAGCUAAGUGGGAAACGAUGUGGGAAGGCUCAGACAGCAGGAUGUUGGCUUAGAAGCAGCCAUCAUUUAAAGAAAGCGUAAUAGCUCACUGGUCGAGUCGGCCUGCGCGGAAGAUUUAACGGGGCUAAGCUAUACACCGAAGCUGCGGCAAUGUGAAUUUAUUCACAUUGGGUAGGGGAGCGUUCUGUAAGCCGUUGAAGGUGCAUUGUAAAGUGUGCUGGAGGUAUCAGAAGUGCGAAUGCUGACAUGAGUAACGAUAAAGGGAGUGAAAAACUCCCUCGCCGGAAG
RNAcentral lists this ribosomal RNA (526 nucleotides) under Photobacterium kishitanii. RNAcentral's name for it is "bacterial LSU rRNA". It matches the Rfam family "Bacterial large subunit ribosomal RNA", at positions 819 to 1343 of the family's 2925-position model. Lineage: Bacteria; Pseudomonadati; Pseudomonadota; Gammaproteobacteria; Vibrionales; Vibrionaceae. The record is from RNAcentral.